AUCACUUCAGCAUCCCAGACAGGACAAGAAGGAAGUCUUUGAGUAUGCUCAGCGCGUGCCAUCAUGGGGCCAUGUUCUUCCCCUUUGCUCUUGGAGAAUAGACAAAGCUACCCAGCCCAGCCACAGCCUCAUAAUCUUGUUCUACCUCCCUCUCCAGCCUCAACUAUUUCCAGGCUCCAGCUCAAGUCAUACAUCAGAAAGGUCAUGGGCAGAGAGCCACAGAGUUGACUCAGCCCACUGGAAGGACAUAGACUGUGAGUGAGGAAGGAGUUCAUCUUCAGAGGAAAGCUGAGGGCUCUUAUCAGAAGAAGAAAUGGAACCCAGAGAGGAAGAAACAAACAGGACAUCAUAAUUCUCCCACUGGUUCUCAAAAUAUUCUCUUCCUAGGACAUAGGAGGAGAAAACACUGCCCUCCUUAAUUAAGAGAUGAGGAAAUUGAGGUGAGUACCAAUGGACAUCCCACAUUCCCACAGCUACCACAAGGUGGAGGUCAGACUAAACCCUCAAUCUCAGGACUUCUGGGCUGGUGUAGCCUCUAUUGAUCUCUCUGUGGAAGAGUAUUCAGUCAGUCAGUGUGGAAGUGUAGUCAGUCCUCUG
This 597-nucleotide long non-coding RNA is filed under the name Homo sapiens (human). Its description in RNAcentral is "HSALNT0197211". Lineage: Eukaryota; Metazoa; Chordata; Mammalia; Primates; Hominidae. The record is from RNAcentral.